RNAcentral lists this long non-coding RNA (863 nucleotides) under Nicotiana benthamiana. Its description in RNAcentral is "long non-coding RNA (NBEN_LNC004734)". The record is from RNAcentral. Lineage: Eukaryota; Viridiplantae; Streptophyta; Magnoliopsida; Solanales; Solanaceae.
GUGACGUCAUUGCAAGAUGCAAGAUAAAUAGGACUCAUUUAUUACAUUUUAGUUGGUGUUCAACAUGUGCAAGCGGGUGAUUAAUUAUAGAAGAAAUUACACUUUAUGUCUGGCCACUAUCCUAACAAAAUAUGGCUCAUAUUUUCCCUUCUUACCUGGUGUGGUCCAGUUUUAUAUUGUUGAAAUUUUUGUUCAUUGAUUAGCCCUCGCCGCCCCUACUCUUUUUCUUUAUGCAGAUGAAACUUUUCCAUUUCCAGAUUCUCUUUCAGACUUUCUCCCCACCCUACUUUCUCUUUCAUUUUCAAUCUCUUGCUCUUUCUCUGUCUCUUUCUCUCUCUCUGGUAAAAUAGUCGAAUUCUUCUUCAGAUUUUCUUGCUCUGUUCAUCCCACUUUGUGUGCAAAUAUGGGAUGCUUUGACGGUUUGGAAAUACAAAUAGAUGGUUGUGCAUCUUGUGGUGCCUAGAGCAAUUCUGUGAAUAAUCAACACUUCCUUCUGUUUUCCCUCAAGGUUUUCGUGUGAAUCUGUUCAUUAUCUUCCUCUUGCGCACCGGAUCUAUCUUCCCUCUGUAUAGUUAUGAAAUCUCUUUUUUUUUUGGUAAUUUUGCUUCUUCUUAUUCUUCACUUUAAAUAACUUCUAAAGGGAGGAAGAAUGAUGUAUAUGUUGUAUAUACAUAUAUACUUUGUAUAAUCAUGUAUAAUCGUGUAUAUUUAUGGGUAUUCUCAUAGUUAUACAGAAUUAUACAUGAUUAUACAUAAGUAUAUAAGAUUAUACAUAAUUACAGAUGCUUAUAUUUAUGUGUAUAACAAUGUAUAUAAGGUGUUUAAUAAUGUAAAUUUUUACUUCCAGUGAAAUAAGAAUUUCC